UAUGUAGGGUGCGAGCGUUGUCCGGAAUUAUUGGGCGUAAAGGGCUCGUAGGCGGUUUGUCGCGUCGGGAGUGAAAUCCACUGGCUUAACUGGUGGCUUGCUUUCGAUACGGGCAGACUGGAGGUAUGCAGGGGAGAACGGAAUUCCUGGUGUAGCGGUGAAAUGCGCAGAUAUCAGGAGGAACACCGGUGGCGAAGGCGGUUCUCUGGGCAUUACCUGACGCUGAGGAGCGAAAGUGUGGGGAGCGAACAGG
Molecule: ribosomal RNA, 253 nt
Filed under: uncultured bacterium
Lineage: Bacteria
Description: partial 16S ribosomal RNA
Rfam family: Bacterial small subunit ribosomal RNA
Source: RNAcentral